RNAcentral lists this ribosomal RNA (1343 nucleotides) under uncultured bacterium. RNAcentral's name for it is "16S ribosomal RNA". It matches the Rfam family "Bacterial small subunit ribosomal RNA", at positions 28 to 1378 of the family's 1533-position model. The record is from RNAcentral.
GACGAACGCUGGCUUCGUGCUUAACACAUGCAAGUCGAACGGAAAGGCCCUGCUUUUGUGGGGUGCUCGAGUGGCGAACGGGUGAGUAACACGUGAGUAACCUGCCCUUGACUUUGGGAUAACUUCAGGAAACUGGGGCUAAUACCGGAUAGGAGCUCCUGCUGCAUGGUGGGGGUUGGAAAGUUUCGGCGGUUGGGGAUGGACUCGCGGCUUAUCAGCUUGUUGGUGGGGUAGUGGCUUACCAAGGCUUUGACGGGUAGCCGGCCUGAGAGGGUGACCGGCCACAUUGGGACUGAGAUACGGCCCAGACUCCUACGGGAGGCAGCAGUGGGGAAUAUUGCACAAUGGGCGGAAGCCUGAUGCAGCAACGCCGCGUGCGGGAUGACGGCCUUCGGGUUGUAAACCGCUUUCGCCUGUGACGAAGCGUGAGUGACGGUAAUGGGUAAAGAAGCACCGGCUAACUACGUGCCAGCAGCCGCGGUGAUACGUAGGGUGCGAGCGUUGUCCGGAUUUAUUGGGCGUAAAGGGCUCGCAGGUGGUUGAUCGCGUCGGAAGUGUAAUCUUGGGGCUUAACCCUGAGCGUGCUUUCGAUACGGGUUGACUUGAGGAAGGUAGGGGAGAAUGGAAUUCCUGGUGGAGCGGUGGAAUGCGCAGAUAUCAGGAGGAACACCAGUGGCGAAGGCGGUUCUCUGGGCCUUUCCUGACGCUGAGGAGCGAAAGCGUGGGGAGCGAACAGGCUUAGAUACCCUGGUAGUCCACGCUGUAAACGGUGGGUACUAGGUGUGGGGUCCAUUCCACGGGUUCCGUGCCGUAGCUAACGCUUUAAGUACCCCGCCUGGGGAGUACGGCCGCAAGGCUAAAACUCAAAGGAAUUGACGGGGCCCCGCACAAGCGGCGGAGCAUGCGGAUUAAUUCGAUGCAACGCGUAGAACCUUACCUGGGUUUGACAUGGAUCGGGAGCGCUCAGAGAUGGGUGUGCCUCUUUUGGGGUCGGUUCACAGGUGGUGCGUGGCUGUCGUCAGCUCGUGUCGUGAGAUGUUGGGUUAAGUCCCGCAACGAGCGCAACCCUUGUUCACUGUUGCCAGCACGUUAUGGUGGGGACUCAGUGGAGACCGCCGGGGUCAACUCGGAGGAAGGUGGGGAUGACGUCAAGUCAUCAUGCCCCUUAUGUCCAGGGCUUCACGCAUGCUACAAUGGCUGGUACAGAGAGUGGCGAGCCUGUGAGGGUGAGCGAAUCUCGGAAAGCCGGUCUCAGUUCGGAUUGGGGUCUGCAACUCGACCUCAUGAAGUCGGAGUCGCUAGUAAUCGCAGAUCAGCAACGCUGCGGUGAAUACGUUCCCGGG